This 180-nucleotide ribosomal RNA is filed under the name uncultured bacterium. RNAcentral's name for it is "partial 16S ribosomal RNA". It matches the Rfam family "Bacterial small subunit ribosomal RNA", at positions 1320 to 1500 of the family's 1533-position model. The record is from RNAcentral.
AUGAAGCCGGAAUUGCUAGUAAUGGCAGGUCAGCAUACUGCCGUGAAUACGUUCCCGGGCCUUGUACACACCGCCCGUCACACCAUGAGAGUUGGGAAUACCCGAAGCCUGUGAGCUAACUUAUAGAGGCAGCAGUCGAAGGUAGAAUCAAUGAUUGGGGUGAAGUCGUAACAAGGUAGC